RNAcentral lists this ribosomal RNA (443 nucleotides) under uncultured bacterium. RNAcentral's name for it is "bacterial SSU rRNA". It matches the Rfam family "Bacterial small subunit ribosomal RNA", at positions 29 to 518 of the family's 1533-position model. The record is from RNAcentral.
AACGAACGCUGGCGGCAGGCUUAACACAUGCAAGUCGAACGCCCUCUUCGGAGGGAGUGGCAGACGGGUGAGUAACGCGUGGGAAUCUACCUAGUGGUACGGAAUAACCGAGGGAAACUUCGGCUAAUACCGUAUAAGCCCUUCGGGGGAAAGAUUUAUUGCCAUUAGAUGAGCCCGCGUCGGAUUAGCUAGUUGGUAGGGUAAUGGCCUACCAAGGCGACGAUCCGUAGCUGGUCUGAGAGGAUGAUCAGCCACACUGGGACUGAGACACGGCCCAGACUCCUACGGGAGGCAGCAGUGGGGAAUAUUGGACAAUGGGCGAAAGCCUGAUCCAGCCAUGCCGCGUGAGUGACGAAGGCCUUAGGGUGUAAAGCUCUUUUAGCAGGGACGAUAAUGACGGUACCUGCAGAAUAAGCCCCGGCUAACUUCGUGCCAGCAGCCGC